This 423-nucleotide ribosomal RNA is filed under the name uncultured bacterium. Its description in RNAcentral is "bacterial SSU rRNA". It matches the Rfam family "Bacterial small subunit ribosomal RNA", at positions 355 to 775 of the family's 1533-position model. The record is from RNAcentral.
UAAGGAAUAUUGGUCAAUGGAGGCAACUCUGAACCAGCCAUGCCGCGUGCAGGAAGACUGCCCUAUGGGUUGUAAACUGCUUUUAUCCGGGAAUAAACCACGAUACGUGUAUUGUGCUGAAUGUACCGGAAGAAUAAGGAUCGGCUAACUCCGUGCCAGCAGCCGCGGUAAUACGGAGGAUCCAAGCGUUAUCCGGAUUUAUUGGGUUUAAAGGGUGCGUAGGCGGCCCGUUAAGUCAGGGGUGAAAGACGGUAGCUCAACUAUCGCAGUGCCUUUGAUACUGACGGGCUUGAAUGAACUAGAGGUAGGCGGAAUGAGACAAGUAGCGGUGAAAUGCAUAGAUAUGUCUCAGAACACCGAUUGCGAAGGCAGCUUACUAUGGUUUAAUUGACGCUGAGGCACGAAAGCGUGGGGAUCAAACAG